ACUCCUACGGGGAGGGCAGCAGUAGGGAAUGCAUUGCUGCAAUGGGCGAAAGCCUGACGCAGCGACGCCGCGUGCGGGAUGACGGCCCUAGUGGUUGUAAAUCGCUUUCAGCAGGGACGAAAUGACGGUACCUGCAGAAGAAGUCCCGGCUAACUACGUGCCAGCAGCCGCGGUAAUACGUAGGGACAAGCGUUGUCCGGAUUCAUUGGGCGUAAAGAGCUCGUAGGCGGUUCAGUAAGUUGGGUGUGAAAGCUCCGGGCUCAACCCGGAGAGGCCACUCAAUACUGCUGUGACUAGAGUCCAGUAGAGGAGCGUGGAACUCCUGGUGUAGCGGUGAAAUGCGCAGAUAUCAGGAAGAACACCGGCAGCGAAGGCGGCGCUCUGGGCUGGUACUGACGCUGAGGAGCGAAAGCAUGGGUAGCAAACAGGAUUAGAUACCCUGGUAGGCUCUGCUAGUCGUAGGAGGCAAGGCACACA
Molecule: ribosomal RNA, 477 nt
Filed under: uncultured bacterium
Lineage: Bacteria
Description: bacterial SSU rRNA
Rfam family: Bacterial small subunit ribosomal RNA
Source: RNAcentral